ACGGGUGCGUAACGCGUGGGAAUCUGCCCUUGGGUUCGGAAUAACAGUUAGAAAUGACUGCUAAUACCGGAUGAUGUCUUCGGACCAAAGAUUUAUCGCCCAAGGAUGAGCCCGCGUAAGAUUAGCUAGUUGGUGGGGUAAUGGCCCACCAAGGCGACGACCUUUAGCUGGUCUGAGAGGAUGAUCAGCCACACUGGGACUGAGACACGGCCCAGACUCCUACGGGAGGCAGCAGUGGGGAAUAUUGGACAAUGGGCGAAAGCCUGAUCCAGCAAUGCCGCGUGAGUGAUGAAGGCCUUAGGGUUGUAAAGCUCUUUUACCAGGGAUGAUAAUGACAGUACCUGGAGAAUAAGCUCCGGCUAACUCCGUGCCAGCAGCCGCGGUAAUACGGAGGGAGCUAGCGUUGUUCGGAAUUACUGGGCGUAAAGCGUACGUAGGCGGUUAUUCAAGUCAGAGGUGAAAGCCCGGGGCUCAACCCCGGAACGGCCUUUGAAACUAGAUAGCUAGAGUCUUGGAGAGGUUAGUGGAAUUCCGAGUGUAGAGGUGAAAUUCGUAGA
Molecule: ribosomal RNA, 557 nt
Filed under: uncultured Novosphingobium sp.
Lineage: Bacteria; Pseudomonadati; Pseudomonadota; Alphaproteobacteria; Sphingomonadales; Sphingomonadaceae
Description: bacterial SSU rRNA
Rfam family: Bacterial small subunit ribosomal RNA
Source: RNAcentral